This 147-nucleotide non-coding RNA is filed under the name Heterosigma akashiwo. Lineage: Eukaryota; Raphidophyceae; Chattonellales; Chattonellaceae. The record is from RNAcentral.
CUGUAAAUAUUGACGAUAAACCCAGGUCAAAAAUGAAAACGAAGAAGAAGAAGCAAGGAGGAGUUGCGCUGAUACCUCCUUUUAUUUUUUGUUGGUUCUUCUUUGUUUCUUCUUCUUCUUCUUGUUCUUUUAUUCAAGUAUAAAAAU